This 2127-nucleotide ribosomal RNA is filed under the name Stenamoeba berchidia. RNAcentral describes it as "bacterial SSU rRNA". It matches the Rfam family "Eukaryotic small subunit ribosomal RNA". The record is from RNAcentral. Lineage: Eukaryota; Discosea; Longamoebia; Thecamoebida.
AUGUCUAAGUAUAAACCGCUUUACGGUGAAACUGCGAAUGGCUCAUUAAAUCAGUUAUAGUUUAUUUGAUAGUCCCUUUUUACUACUCGGAUAACCGUAGUAAAUCUAGAGCUAAUACGUGCGGAAAGGGCCGACUGGGGAGGGGCAACCCUCUUCGGAUAGGUCCGUAUUUAUUAGAUACAAAACCGAUACGGGGCAUCCCAAACCGGCGGGGGGUUCGGGGGGGAACGGGUUCGUCCCUUCCUCCUCGUCCUCGUCGGGUCCCGGCUUUCUUUUCGGUGAUUCAUGAUAACUUCGCGAAUCGCAGCGGCCUCGAGCCGGCGAUGAUUCAUUCGAAUUUCUGCCCUAUCAACUUUCGAUGGUAAGAUAGAGGCUUACCAUGGUGAUAACGGGUAACGGAGAAUUAGGGUUCGAUUCCGGAGAGGGAGCCUGAGAAACGGCUACCACUUCUAAGGAAGGCAGCAGGCGCGCAAAUUACCCAAUCCCGACACGGGGAGGUAGUGACAAUAAAUACCGAUACGGGCCUCUUUUCGAGGCUCGUAAUUGGAAUGAGAACAAUUCAAACCCCUUAACGAGGAACAAUUGGAGGGCAAGUCUGGUGCCAGCAGCCGCGGUAAUUCCAGCUCCAAUAGCGUAUAUUAAAGUUGUUGCAGUUAAAAAGCUCGUAGUUGAACUUUGGAACGGGAGGGAGAGGGGCGGGGAGGGGCGACCCUCCUCGUUUUCCUUCUCCCUUCGUGCGGCGCCGGUCCGCCCCGAAGGGCGAGCACUGGUCCGCGCGUUCCCUCCUACCGGACGCUCGCUCCUGCUCUUCGUUGAGUGGGAGUAUUCUCCCGNNNGGGGUCGAUUCCCCCUUCCCUCCUCGUUUCGGCGAACGAUCGGUUCGCAAGAACCCGGUCCUCGGAUCGCUCGGGGUUUCGACGGGGCCGGAAGGUCUCCCGGGGAUUCGUCCUCGGGUCUCCUUUUUCCACCGGUUCCGUUCGGAGCUCCGGUUCGUUUACCUUGAAUAAAUUAGAGUGUUCAAAGCAGGCAAGCACACGCCCGGAUACUUUAGCAUGGGAUAAUAGAAUAGGACUUGGGUUCUAUUUUCGUUGGUUUCUAGGACCGAAGUAAUGAUUAAUAGGGACGGUCGGGGGCAUUAGUAUUUAAUUGUCAGAGGUGAAAUUCUCGGAUUUAGGAAAGACUGACUUCAGCGAAAGCAUUUGCCAAGGACGUUUUCAUUAAUCAAGAACGAAAGUUAGGGGAUCGAAGACGAUCAGAUACCGUCGUAGUCUUAACCAUAAACGAUGCCGACCAGGGAUCGGGAGACGUUACCUCGAUGACUCUCCCGGCACCUUGCGGGAAACCACAAGUCUUUGGGUUCCGGGGGGAGUAUGGUCGCAAGGCUGAAACUUAAAGGAAUUGACGGAAGGGCACCACCAGGAGUGGAGCCUGCGGCUUAAUUUGACUCAACACGGGGAAACUUACCAGGUCCGGACAUAGGAAGGAUUGACAGACUGAUAGCUCUUUCUUGAUUCUAUGGGUGGUGGUGCAUGGCCGUUCUUAGUUGGUGGAGCGAUUUGUCUGGUUAAUUCCGUUAACGAACGAGACCUCGGCCUGCUAAAUAGCCAUGCGAACCUUUCCGCCCCAAAGAGGAUACGGUCGGGGCGGGUCCACGUCGGGAGGGGGGCCCCCUUCGCGGGGGGUUUCUCUCCCGGCGCCGUCUCGGUCGCCCUCUGGUGAGGUUCGUAGCGGCGCUUCUUAGAGGGACUAUGCAAUCCCAGUGCAUGGAAGUUCGAGGCAAUAACAGGUCUGUGAUGCCCUUUAGAUGUUCUGGGCCGCACGCGCGCUACACUGACAAGCUCAACGAGCGUUCCUUUCCCUCGGCCGGAAGGUCCGGGUAAUCUUCGAAAGCUUGUCGUGCUGGGGAUAGAUCCUUGCAAUUAUGGAUCUUCAACGAGGAAUUCCUAGUAAGCGCGAGUCAUCAGCUCGCGUUGAUUACGUCCCUGCCCUUUGUACACACCGCCCGUCGCUCCUACCGAUUGAACGGUCCGGUGAAGUCUUCGGAGCGAGGCUCACGCUCGGUCGGGGCAACUCGGCCGGGUAGGGUCGCGCAAAGUCGACUAAACCUUAUCGUUUAGAGGAAGGAGA